UACUUGCUUUAUCAUUGCAGGAAGGAUCAAGUCUAUUAGUUCAGAGAAGAUGGAGAUGAAUAAAAAAAGUUCCUAUUCAAAAGAGAAACCGACUAUGGGCCGUUCUUCAUCUUCCAGUGAAGUGAAAAAGCCUGCGGAAAAAGACUUAAGCUCCUCCACGUUUAUUAAUCAGGCUGCAAUUUGUUGGCACGAGAGUAGAAAGAAGUGGG
RNAcentral lists this unclassified non-coding RNA (209 nucleotides) under Hevea brasiliensis (rubber tree). The record is from RNAcentral. Lineage: Eukaryota; Viridiplantae; Streptophyta; Magnoliopsida; Malpighiales; Euphorbiaceae.